Molecule: transfer RNA, 69 nt
Filed under: Anomaloglossus beebei (Beebe's rocket frog)
Lineage: Eukaryota; Metazoa; Chordata; Amphibia; Anura; Aromobatidae
Description: tRNA-Pro
Rfam family: tRNA
About the family: Transfer RNA (tRNA) molecules are approximately 80 nucleotides in length.
Source: RNAcentral
CAAGAUAUAAUUUAAGCAGAAUGUUAGCUUUGGGGGUUAAUUGCGGGGGUUAAAUUCCUCCUGUCUUGA